CGCGUAGGCGGUCAUGCAAGUCAGGUGUGAAAUCCCCAGGCUUAACCUGGGAACUGCGCUUGAAACUGCAUAGCUUGAGGCCCGGGAGAGGAAAGUGGAAUUCCUGGUGUAGCGGUGAAAUGCGUAGAUAUCAGGAGGAACACCGGUGGCGAAGGCGGCUUUCUGGACCGGUUCUGACGCUGAAGCGCGAAAGCGUGGGGAGCAAACG
This 208-nucleotide ribosomal RNA is filed under the name uncultured bacterium. Its description in RNAcentral is "partial 16S ribosomal RNA". It matches the Rfam family "Bacterial small subunit ribosomal RNA", at positions 568 to 774 of the family's 1533-position model. The record is from RNAcentral.